RNAcentral lists this ribosomal RNA (389 nucleotides) under Nitzschia sp. (in: diatoms). Its description in RNAcentral is "Nitzschia sp. (in: Bacillariophyta) partial small subunit ribosomal RNA". It matches the Rfam family "Eukaryotic small subunit ribosomal RNA", at positions 582 to 975 of the family's 1831-position model. Lineage: Eukaryota; Bacillariophyta; Bacillariophyceae; Bacillariales; Bacillariaceae. The record is from RNAcentral.
AUUCCAGCUCCAAUAGCGUAUAUUAAAGUUGUUGCAGUUAAAAAGCUCGUAGUUGGAUUUGUGGCUGUCGCUAGCGGCCUAUCACCUAGUGUUAGUGCUUGCUGGCGUCGCCAUCCUUGGGUGGAGCCUGCGUGGCAUUAGGUUGUCGUGCAGGGGAUGCCCAUCGUUUACUGUGAGAAAAUUAGAGUGUUCAAAGCAGGCUUAUGCCGUUGAAUAUGUUAGCAUGGAAUAAUAAGAUAGGACCUUGGUACUAUUUUGUUGGUUUGCGCACCGAGGUAAUGAUUAAUAGGGACAGUUGGGGGUAUUCGUAUUCCAUAGUCAGAGGUGAAAUUCUUGGAUUUCUGGAAGACGAACUACUGCGAAAGCAUUUACCAAGGAUGUUUUCAUCG